CGGCCACAGAGUUGAAACACCGGUUCCCGUACGAUCAACGAAGUUAAGCAACGUCGAUCCUGGUCAGUACAUAGAUGGAUGACAGUUUGAGAAUACCAGGUGCUGUGA
Acanthosepion pharaonis is the source of this 108-nucleotide non-coding RNA. The record is from the annotation of a GenBank genome assembly. Lineage: Eukaryota; Metazoa; Mollusca; Cephalopoda; Sepiida; Sepiidae.